Molecule: transfer RNA, 74 nt
Filed under: Pseudomonadota bacterium
Lineage: Bacteria; Pseudomonadati; Pseudomonadota
Description: Proteobacteria bacterium tRNA-Gly
Rfam family: tRNA
About the family: Transfer RNA (tRNA) molecules are approximately 80 nucleotides in length. Their secondary structure includes four short double-helical elements and three loops (D, anti-codon, and T loops).
Source: RNAcentral
GCGGGCGUAGCUCAGCUGGCUAGAGCGCUUCCUUGCCAAGGAAGAGGCCGAGAGUUCGAAUCUCUUCGCCCGCU